UGCAAGUCGAGCGGCAGCACGGGAAGCUUGCUUCCUGGUGGCGAGCGGCGGACGGGUGAGUAAUGCAUAGGAAUCUGCCCGGUAGUGGGGGAUAACCUGGGGAAACCCAGGCUAAUACCGCAUACGUCCUACGGGAGAAAGCAGGGGCUCUUCGGACCUUGCGCUAUCGGAUGAGCCUAUGUCGGAUUAGCUGGUUGGUGAGGUAAUGGCUCACCAAGGCGACGAUCCGUAGCUGGUCUGAGAGGAUGAUCAGCCACAUCGGGACUGAGGCACGGCCCGAACUCCUACGGGAGGCAGCAGUGGGGAAUAUUGGACAAUGGGCGCAAGCCUGAUCCAGCCAUGCCGCGUGUGUGAAGAAGGCCCUCGGGUUGUAAAGCACUUUCAGUGGGGAAGAAAGCCUGGUGGUUAAUACCCGUCAGGAAGGACAUCACCCACAGAAGAAGCACCGGCUAACUCCGUGCCAGCAGCCGCGGUAAU
This 477-nucleotide ribosomal RNA is filed under the name uncultured bacterium. RNAcentral's name for it is "bacterial SSU rRNA". It matches the Rfam family "Bacterial small subunit ribosomal RNA", at positions 56 to 524 of the family's 1533-position model. The record is from RNAcentral.